UGGUGGGGGUGGGGGGUGUUGUUUUUGUUUUUGAGACAGAGUCUUGCUCCGUCGCCCAGGCCGGAGU
Molecule: microRNA precursor, 67 nt
Organism: Homo sapiens (human)
Lineage: Eukaryota; Metazoa; Chordata; Mammalia; Primates; Hominidae
Source: Ensembl